Long non-coding RNA from Motacilla alba alba, 4108 nucleotides. RefSeq lists it as uncharacterized. The record is from RefSeq and is a predicted model, not a curated record. The transcript is spliced from 4 exons. NCBI's taxonomy places the organism in Eukaryota, Metazoa, Chordata, Aves, Passeriformes, Motacillidae.
UGCUCUAAUCUGCUUGCUCCCGUGCGUGCUGCGGGGGGGUGGGCAGGGGAGGGAUGUGUAUCCAGCCAUUCUCCUCCUUACACCGCAGCCUGGCAGCUGGUUCUGAGCUAGACACGGGCCUGCAGAGCCCGACUGACUGAGCCAAGCUGCCUUAGCAGUAGCUGCUCCGUUCGCCCUGCUGGCUCCACUGCGUGCUCCCUGCCUGGUUCCUCAGGUGCAGGACUAGUCGCAGCCAGGAACGAGUGAGUGUUGGCCGUCCACCGUGCCAUCCCUGACCACGAAAUGCUGCUCCCUGCUGCGGGUGGGGGACUGACGGGGAACUCGGGGCAUGGCUUGUGCUCUUGCCAAGAGCUUGGCUUUCCCACAGCGUGCUCAGCAGUUGCGUGCGUUGCAGGCUGGCACUGGUGUACCUGAGGAGCGGUGAAGAGUAAGCGAGCUGGGAACAAGAUGUGGAAUGAAAGGCGGAGCCUGGCAGAAAGCUUAGGAGUGAUUUGAGAGAAUCCAGGCUGUCCCCGGUGCUCAUGACCUGAGGCGUGGCCACGGCCAGAGACAGAGGAUCAGGCACAGUCAGGGGCUGAGCAACACACCAGGUACGGGUGACAAACCCUGGGGCAGCCUGUGGGUCAGUGUCUGGAACAUUGCCCUGCCACAGCGCUGUAUCCAACAGAGUUACCAGGGGCGUUUGAUCCCAAGCGCGCCGAACACAACGAACUGCAGUUAGGCAGACAAAGAAGGAAAAAAGCUUGGUCAAGAGUCUCUUCUGCUCACAACCUCUGUGCUUGCGCAGUGCCUUGGAGCGCGUCUGCUGCCGCUCCUUCCCCACGGGCUGCUGGUCAUGCUGACCCCAGCCAGGGCAGGAGCUGGGACUGCUGCGGCACUGCAGGACCACGCAAAGGAAGGAAGCCCGGCGUGCUGUGUGGAACUGGGAGCCUGGGCAGGUUGGCGGUGUGGCCGUGCCGCCCAGCGUGGCUCAGUCAGCAACAGCCUGUGCAGGAUCUUUGGGGUGGAGAGUUGGGGCACAGAGAGCACUUUCUGUCCUGUUUGUCCCUCUGCCACAUAACCUGGCUGAAGAUUAAGUGGGCGGCCCUUUCACCUCACACCUUGGAAGAUGAGAACAAAUAACCAAUUCUAAAAGAAGAUGAGUUUGGAAGCAAUAGAUUGGACAGCAAUUAAAAUCUAAUGCACAGCUUAGAAGAGCAGUGAGGGCUAAGACAGACCAGCAGCUUCUUUGUCUUCUCAGAAAAUAACCUCUCUCUGAGCAGCUCACAUUAACUUCACUCGACAGAAAUAGGCCAUCCAAGUGACUGUGGCUGCACGAGCCUGCGUGUGGCACUGACUGUCACAGCCUCAAAAGACUGUGACAGUCUUUUGGGACACUGUGUGCCCAGGAGCUGGGCGCUAGGGAAGCUGAGCGGCAGCCCUCAGUGAGGCAGGAGAAGCCAGCAGGGUCGCUUCCCAUGGAAUUUACAAAGAAAACGUCACCUGACAAUUUCUUCCAAACAAUACACACAUGAAAUGAACCGACAACCCGUGUACAAAAUGAGGAGGCAAACACCAGCCAGCUCUUGUUCCUCCCUCAGCCCCGGUUCCACCAUGUACAAACCAAAGGGCAUUUCAGCACUCAGUGCAGAAAGUCAGCCCCAAACCUUGUGCUGCGUUACCUCACAAGCGCUCUGGGGCACACACAGGAGACCCCAACCACACCGUUCCCCUUUCCCAGAGCGCCUGGCAUGGUGCUGGGGUGGCACAUCCUUGGGGUCAGAUGGGUACAGAGCCUGUACCUGUCCUGGCUAUGGGCAGGAGCUGAGACCCCCAUGGUGUGGGCACCCUCCCACCCCCACAGGCCAGCACGCUCCCUCCCUUCAGAAGCCAAACACCCGAUGCUCCCGCUUUCCAGCAAGCUUUUUUUUUCCCCUUAAACUUGCAAUGCAGCUGCAUGCUGUCAAUCUGCCCCGUGAAGAGUGAAAAAAACCCCAUAAAAAAUAGAGCUUGACUCACCCUUUCUCAGCAGGCUUCGGGCUGGGAUGUACGUCCUCGGGCAGCACCUCAGGCUGGCCUCCUGUGCGCUGGGCCCAGCCCGGCUGCCCCUCGUUAGCCCUGAUUGCCACACAGGCCUUGGCGAUAAAAACAGGCAGGAGGGCCGGGCAGUGGGCCCUGCUCUCAUUUUUGGAGGUUUUUGGAGGUGAGGUUGCUCAGGCCUGGCUGUUUGGAACCCCUCACCGACGGGGCGCCCUCCCCUCAGCAGCCCCUAAGAUGGCGGCGGGGGUCCCUGAGGUAAAAGGGUUCCCGCCAAAAAAUGUGGCGGGAAGAGCCACGAGCGGCUUCUGCUCGGGGCCCCCUUUCUCUCCCAAAACUUCCCGUCACGGCUGCUCCUAUUCCAGUUUCAUCCUUUCGAAGCUGCUGGUUUGCGUGUGUGUGUGUAGAUAUAUUUUUUAAAAUUAUUAUUAUUAUUAUUUGGUCUGUUUAAUCACAGUUUUAUUUUACCUCAGUAAAAGCACAAGCACCUCAUGAGCGGUUUCCCCCAUACUCCAUCGCGCUUUUACCAGCUCUAACCCACCCCAGCUGAAUUAUGCCCUUGUUUUUUAUUUCUUUUGCAUUUCAGUUCUCCAAGUUCAUUUAAUGGCAAAAUGAAGAAUUUAACAAGUAUGGCUGGAUUAUCUCAUUUGAAGUCCCCCUGCUUCCCCCCUAGCAGAAGGCAAUGGCCUCAGGCUGCAAACCACAGAGCAAAAAGCUGCCUGGCUCACACGUACCCUGUUUCCUAUAUGGUGCAGGGGAAAAUAAGCCCUUUACCCUGAUCUUAAAGCAGGCAGAGCCACACUGACCCCCCUCUCAAGCUUCUCUGAGGGCGCUGAGCCUGGCUGGCUCCAUCUCCCCGACAUCUUGAAACGGGCAAGAAGAAAGCAGAUUUCUGCAAUGGGUUUUGGCACUGAUGCACACCAAGCCGCACAAAGGCUGGCCACAGACACACAUCCAGUUGCACAACACAAGGGCUGAUUGUUCAGCCUCACAGGGAUAGAAAAUCCCCCUCGCACAGCAGAGCUGCGGGACGCUUGGUUGGUGCGCAAAGGCACGAGCAGCACUCCUGUGGGAACACAGUCAAGCUGUAACGCUGCGCCACGGUCAGGACACCUCCCCUCUGAGGGGUGUAAAGGGAUAAACAGCUCUUAUGGAAACACUGCCUAGCAGGGUGAAUGAAUCUGGCAUGGAGAAGCCUGGCAUGGGGUCUCUAGGUGCGCCUCAGUUUGCUCACACUGAUUUAAAGCAGGGGCUCUUGGAUGAAAAGCUCUCUGUUCCCUGUUCUGCAAAGGACAGGAUUUAUGGGGAGUGAGUAGGGAGUGCUAUCCAGUCUGCUUUAUUUGCUUCUCUUAAUUACCAGCCUCAACAUUCACGACAGCAGCUGAGCUGUAAAGAUGAUGGAUAAACUGACACACAAACUGUUAUCAUGCUGUGGAUUUGACCAAUUUUAUAGCUAGCCUUCACAAAAGAUCUUAUGUGCAAACUUACAACCAACAGACCCCGGUUUGUAAACACUCUUUACUAGAUUUAGUCUUGAGGGAAGCAUCUGAUGGGAAUUCCUUGUGACCGUCGGUCGCCCGAGGGCUCUGAUGAAAAAAGGCCAGUUUUAAGUUGGAUGAGUAGAUUUUCCUGGCACUUCUAUCACAUGCAUGCUGCUAAAAGCACGUGAGGCCUCACUGAGAGCUGGCCUGCUUUGAGUGGAGAUAAUAAUUUCAGGGAUGCUGACCCAGGAAAAAGGCUGUUCCUAACUAAUGUGCAAGUGGAACAUAAUGGUAUUGGUUCUGCACAAGGAGGUUUUUCUUGGAACUGGCACCAUGUGUCAGAAGUGUAACUGCUUUGUCCUUACCAGGGUUUUCCUCAAGUCACCGAAGGGAGAUCCGUGCUUUCCCAGCUGAAGGUGGCUGUCACACGAUCCUUGAGCAGUCCAUGACUUACCUGCAGACAGCUCUGGAGAAGGUGCUUGACCCAGACCUGUCUCUGUCCAUGGCCUUUGAAGAGGACCAUCUGCCAAGUACGGGACUAAAGGAACUCGGGCAGGGCUGCAUGCCAGCUCCACGUGGGCCAGGUUAGAGUGAGGAAGAGGCUGCUGGAG